Molecule: ribosomal RNA, 618 nt
Filed under: uncultured bacterium
Lineage: Bacteria
Description: bacterial SSU rRNA
Rfam family: Bacterial small subunit ribosomal RNA
Source: RNAcentral
GCGAACGCACCUUCGGGUGUUAUUAGAGUGGCGGACGGGUGAGUAACACGUGGGAACAUGCCUUUCGGUACGGAACAACGCUUGGAAACGAGUGCUAAUACCGUAUACGCCCUUCGGGGGAAAGAUUUAUCGCCGAAAGAUUGGCCCGCGCUAGAUUAGCUAGUUGGUAAGGUAAUGGCUUACCAAGGCGACGAUCUAUAGCUGGUUUGAGAGGAUGAUCAGCCACACUGGGACUGAGACACGGCCCAGACUCCUACGGGAGGCAGCAGUGGGGAAUAUUGGACAAUGGGGGCAACCCUGAUCCAGCGAUGCCGCGUGAGUGAUGAAGGCCUUAGGGUUGUAAAACUCUUUCAGAUGGGAUGAUAAUGACAGUACCAUCAGAAGAAGCUCCGGCUAACUCCGUGCCAGCAGCCGCGGUAAUACGGAGGGUGCGAGCGUUAAUCGGAAUUACUGGGCGUAAAGCGCACGCAGGCGGUUAUAUAAGCUAGAUGUGAAAGCCCCGGGCUCAACCUGGGAAUAGCAUUUAGAACUGUAUGACUAGAGUCUUGGAGAGGGGAGUGGAAUUCCAGGUGUAGCGGUGAAAUGCGUAGAUAUCUGGAGGAACAUCAGUGGCGAAGG